Molecule: long non-coding RNA, 4721 nt
Organism: Paramormyrops kingsleyae
Lineage: Eukaryota; Metazoa; Chordata; Actinopteri; Osteoglossiformes; Mormyridae
Source: RefSeq, a predicted model, not a curated record
UUUAAAUGAAUGUAAUGCGGUAGCUGAGGAAAUGGAACUGUAACCAAAUGCAAGAGCAAUACAUAAUUCAAAGAAGCUGAACUAGAGGAUGGAUGCCCAACUACCCUGAGAGGAUGGAUGCAUGGACUGACUACUUAUUCAUAUUACUGCCUUACAGGUAUGUGUUUCUCUUGGUUACCUUGUGCCUCUCUGCUGCACCUCCAUACACCUGUGCUGAGCUCACUGGAAUCACAGCUCUAUAUGUCACAGCCUGAAGCGGCCGACAGCACUGUGUCGCAGUGUGCACUGGGUAAGGCUUCUCUAUCACGAUGUCUUUAACUUUGACAUAUUACUGAGAAAGGGUGGUUCCUAAAUAGCUGCAGGUGGAUCAUGACAAGUAAUUACUGUGUGACCUCAGUAAUGAUGGACUGUCUCUUACCAUUCAAGUCAGCAUCAGCAGAUUUCAGUACACGCCUCAGCCUCUGGCCUGACUGGGCCUCUGUGUGUGCAAAAGCCACUCCAAAAACCAGUUUGAACCAGUUAAAACUGAAACAUCCCGUUAAAUCCCAUGGCCAAGUCGUUUUCCUCAAAUCAAGCUUCUGUAGAGAGUUUGGCUUGCGAUUUUUACAAAAAUUCCCAAGUGUCCGUUUGAUGAAAUAAUAUUUCGCUUUCAUUGCAUAAUCUGAACUAUGACAUAAGAUGAUUUAGCUUAUUCAUGGAGGAAUUCGAAGAAUGGACCUAUCCUUCUGACACACCUUUAAUGCUUUCCCUUUAAUAAUAAGCACAGCAAAUCACAGUGAGAUCACUGCUAAUGUUACAGAGGUGUGUAUCAAGUAACACGAUGUGAACAGGCCAACAUGCAAAUGCAACCCAAGCCAUCUCUGCCAUUUUUCUUCACUGGAAGUUGUCUUUGCAUGUAUCAGAGCUUUCACCAUUUUGUGAGUCAAGUGUGUUUAUUUCAUUCACUCAUUGUUUGUUUAUUUGUUUAUGCAUUUGUUUGUUUCUUUCUUUUUAAGUUAUGUUCUGUAUUUUCAUCACCCCCUCUCCUGCUACAUGAUGUCGCAGACACUUUUAUCCAAAGCAACGUAUAAUUAAAGACGGCUUGGGGUUAGCAUACAGGGUCAAAUUUCAUCCAACACCCGUGGAGCACUUGGGGUCAAGGGCCUUGCUCAAGGGUUCAGCGGUGAUAGGAUUACUCAGAGGACCUGAACCCACAACCUCCCAGAGAUGGGCACAGAUCCCCAACCUACUGAACACCACCCCACCGUCCUUCCAACGCACAACAAACUUGUCAUUGUGGCAUUGUGCCCAGGCCAACAUUCACAUAUGUGGCUCAUCAGGUUCGGAUGCUUCUCCAGAGAUCAGAAGGUUCAAAUCCUGUGGUUGGCAGGGUGAUCUCAGUGCUGGGCCCUCCUCCCCAGUCACUCCUUUCUCAGUUCUAUGCCAUUUUGGAGAAAACCAUCUGCUAAAUAAAUAAAAUCCAUGUAUGUAUUGUCUCAUAGAAUUCCUGUUCCACAGGCGUCAGCAUUUUAAUAACAUUCUCUCACAUCCAAGAAGCAACUGGAUCUGAGAAUUCUGGCAGGUUGUGAACAUAAUGAUUGUGUGUAUUGAUGUGUGUAUUGCUGACCCUAUGUCCAAAAUGGGAUCAACCCAGAUCACCACCAAGCAACAACAAAAGAGCAAAUCAGGAGAGUGUAGCCAUAAUCCUGGUCUCUACUCAAGCAGCUGUCUGGGCCUUUGUGCUGCACGUCAAAUAAAAACUUGACAUGGGCCCUACUAAUCUCUGUUUUCAUAAGAGGUGAGUCCCCUUUUAGCUAAGGGAUCAUCACCUCUGGAAGAUGCUGAAAUGAUAAGCAAUCUGCUGCUGCAGUGUUUCCCAAUGCAGUCCUCAAGGACCCAUAAACAGUCAACAGUUUUGCUCCCUCCCAGCUCUCUAAAUGUGGACUGCCAGGCAAGGAGCUCAGAGGGAGCAAAAACAUAGACGACUGUGGUUCCCUGAGGACCGGGUUGUGGAACACUGUGCUACUGGAAGAGUAAUUGUCAUGCGUUUUGUGCUUGUCGGGAACUUUUAUCUUUUUUCCCUCAAAUGUGAGGUUUUGUAAGAAGGAACCAAACCAGGCGUGAGGAAGGAUCAGAAUGUCAUGUAUGUGUUCAAGGUGUUCACUAUCGCGUCAGAUUCCCUAUGUGUUUAGAGCCACCGCAAUAGCAACAGACCAUGAAAGCCGACCUCAACGGUUUUAAUUUUUGUUCUUUUCCCCUAAGGGCAUUAAAAGGACAUGUUGCCAAAAAUUUAAGCUAAUUCACAUAACCGAAGGUUCGAAAAUGUUCUGUAAUCAAUGUCAAGAUUGGACCUUUCCAAGAUCAGCAUUAGACACCAUCGAUAUGAAAAAUUCAGAAGAAGUUUUCACAGGCUUCAGACUGGGCCUGAGCCAGUGACCGUACUCUGACCUUACAUCUGGAGCAAGAGUCCAGCCAAAGAUAACUGGAAGGGCUCUCAGUCCCCCUGCCUUUUACCCUCCUGCAGGCCAAGCAGCGUCGCCUCAGCCGGCUGCCAAAUAGCCUCACUCUCUACUGCCGAUGCCCGUCACACACAGUCAAGAAGCUGGGGGUGACUGGCCCCCUUUGCCAGCACACAUGAGCCAUGUAGCUUCGCCCCCCAUGCCCUAACACAGCCUAACCACAGACAGGUAGUCCUGUCACCUUAAAUGCCCCAUCUCCCUGCUCACAGUUUCUGGAACUAGCCCAUCUACUUUCCUAUUAAAACAUGAAUACCUACUUAAAAAUGUGAAUCUACCUUUCCUUGCUUCUUCUUAGCAAACUCCAAAUACCUCCAAAUAACUAUAUAUCAUUAGCUGUAUAUAAACCAGCACUGCAUAACUGGCGAAUUUGAUCACUUUGGCCCAGCUGUUUGAUUUUCAUGCUGUUUGUUUUUAUACAUUAAAUGAGAUGGAAAGUGUACAUGGGCAACAUUUUAUUGGUUUCUCGAUGUUCUUAAAAACAGGAUCCUGUCCAUUGUUUUACAUCUGCAAAAAUGUUGUAAGGAAAACAAGCAAAGAGCACAUUGCAGCAGUAAUUCUGGAGGAAAUAGCAGCCCCAUCAAGGGUGCAUACUCACAUACACAGUCACCUACUUCGGGUAAUUCAGGCUAACCAGCCUAAAUGGAUGUUUUUCACUUUAGCAGGAAAUGAAAGUAAAGGAAGUCUUUAUGGACAUGGAGAGAACAUGCAAAAUCCACAACUAAAAUCUAAAUGCUAAAUACUAAGACAGAAGUGUAACAAUACAGUUCAUAAUUAUAAAUUACUUAAAGGGUUAAUUACAAUAUGAACAGUAAUAAAAUAUAUAACAAUAAUUUAUAUUGUUAUUUACUCUGUAAGAACAGUAGCAAUUCAUACUGAAUCAAUGUUGUGCAUUUAGCAUAGAUUUUUCUUGUAAAUUUAGUUUCACGCAUUUGGCAGUGUUUAAGAAUAGUGUUGAUGAUGUAUAGGAUUCUAUGGGAUUUUAUAGGCACAUUACAUCUGCCAAAGAUAUGAAUAGAAAGAACGGAAAAUCCGUUACCAUCAAAGGGAAAAAAGUUGGUCUGAUGAAAUACAUAAAGGAUCUGAGGUUGAACUGUUACUUUUUUCUUGAUUAAUUGCAAUGGCUCUUGUGUUUAAUGCCAGCAUCUUUCUCAGGAAAACUAUUUAUCUUCACCACAGUUGCAUUUACAAGAAUACAGAUCAAGUGAUAUUCAGUUCAGACUGUAUGAGAAAUUGUUUUCUGGAGUAGCCUCAACAUUAGCAGUGAACCAAAGCGGCAAGGGCAUCAUUUGGACUGUAAUUACUAAUUACUGUCAUUACACAUUUGUUUUAUGAGCAGGACUCGUCCUUGAUAACAUACUUAGCCUGUUUUUGGGGCCGCCUGUGAUGGACUGGCAUCGUUUCCAGGAUGCCCCCCCCCCGUACUGCCUAGAAUAGAAUCCAUACCCAACCCCUGUAAUCCUGGCCAGGACAAGUAGUUAGAAGAUAGGUGAAUAGAUGGGUGGAUGGAUGGAACACACUGAAGAACAUUAUGAGAUCGGUGUAAACAGGCCAAGAGUUUAGAAAUUCCAGGAGAAAAAUGACUUCGAGUGACAAACUGAAAAACUAGACAUUAAAAUACAAUCACAUGGCAAUGCAUUGGUUCGGGCACACGAAAACUUAAUGGAAGGUUAUUUCAAAAUGAAUUGAUUCACAUAUUAAUUAAUGAUUCACAUAAAAAUGUGAAAGCAAUUGUUAGUGAUUUGGUCAAUGUACCCCCAAAACCAUAUGAACAUAGUCUGUCGUUUCAACACCAAACCACACAUUUGCAUGAGACAAAUGAGGUUUGAGUGAGAUGUAUAGUUAAGGAUUAAACUCAGAAAUAUGGCCAGAUUUGCAUUUACAUCCAUCCAUCCAUCUUUAAACUUCUUAUCCUGAACAUGGUAACAUCAGACCAGGAGUCUCUCCCAGGGAAGCAGAGGGCAUGAAGCUGUGGUACAGCCCGGACGGGAUGCCAGAACACUCCACAGGCAACUUAGAGACACUAAGUCAUCUCACUGCCUGUCCUUGUACUGUAGCAGGGGCCCAUAGGAGUUCAGGCCAUGCACGCUCCAGAUACACAUACAGCAGAGGCGGGAUUUGAACCCACAACAGUGGACAUUCGAGGCAAUAGUGCUACCCAGUUGAGACACCAUGCCAUGCACAACUACGUCAAGUAGUAUUUUGUGUUAAUUGUAUUGUGUGUCA